CGCUGGAUUUAAGCAUAUAAUUAAGCGGAGGAAAAGAAACUAACAAGGAUUGGUCUAGUAACGGCGAGUGAAGCACCAACUGUUCAGCAUGUGAAUCAUCACUUGUGGUGAAUUGUAGUAUGUCGGCUUGUUUGUUAUGCAUGGUGACUAAGUCCUCUGGAAUGAGGCAGCAGAGAGGGUGACACUCCCGUUUGUCAACCAGCGCAAAAACUUGCCUGUGAGUCGAGUUGUUUGGGAUUGCAGCUCUAAUUGGUGGUAAAUUCCAUCUAAGACUAAAUAUUAACAGAAGACCGAUAGCGUACAAGUACCGUGAGGGAAAGAUGCAAAGCCGCGCGAGAGCGCUGUCAAAGAGUACCUGAAAUUGCUGAAAAGGAAGCGAAAGAAACCAGUGUAAAGCCUUCCAGCAUUUCCUUUCCUGCUUGCGGGUUGGGCGCUGCUGUUGGUGUUGUUCUGUAUGGUGGUUCGCAGCAGAAGAACUUGGUGCUGUGGGCCACUUUAUUGAACCAAAUGGUUUUUUUCUCCCCGUCUUGAAACACGGACCAAGGA
RNAcentral lists this ribosomal RNA (546 nucleotides) under Campylodiscus thuretii. RNAcentral describes it as "eukaryotic LSU rRNA". It matches the Rfam family "Eukaryotic large subunit ribosomal RNA", at positions 26 to 672 of the family's 3401-position model. The record is from RNAcentral. Lineage: Eukaryota; Bacillariophyta; Bacillariophyceae; Surirellales; Surirellaceae.